Haemorhous mexicanus (house finch) is the source of this 15081-nucleotide long non-coding RNA. RefSeq lists it as uncharacterized. NCBI's taxonomy places the organism in Eukaryota, Metazoa, Chordata, Aves, Passeriformes, Fringillidae. The record is from RefSeq and is a predicted model, not a curated record. The transcript has 6 exons.
UUUGGCAACUUCUUUAAAGAAGGCAAGAGCUGAACUGUCAGCACUGAUUUUAGUUUUGCAGUGCUAUGGCUUUCUAUUUAUAGUGGUCAUGAAAGAGGUCCUGAAGGCAGCAUUUCUUGUCAGUGAAUUAAAGAUUCCCUCAUAUCUGCAGUGUUUGCUUUAAUUUUAAUAUUUUUCAUGGUUAAUGAAAAAUAGUCUGAGAAAGAGGGAGUAAACAAAGUUUUUCGGGUCUCAUCAGCUUACUUGCAUCUUCUUAUUAGUGGCCCAAAUUAGAGCCCUGUUUGAGUGGCCACCAUGCUCUGUGGAUGCCAACGUGGGAAGCUGCUCAUUGCUGAGGGGAUGUCACUUUGUACGGUUAUCUUGCAGCCUUGCAUGUUAAUGUGGAGACUCUGGCCUGUCUUGUUUAUACCAACUGAUCAAAUAUAAAGCACCUACCUCAAAUCCAAGGUGGCUUCCUGAUGUCCCCCCUAAGUGGAGCAGGAGAUAGCUCCAGCUAGGAAGAAGCAGUUCAGGGCUCUGACAAUGCUUCCAGCUGCAGAGCUGCCCACUGCUCUCUGGUGCAGGAGCUGUGUUCUUGCCAACCAGCCAAGCUCAAGUCACUUAAUAAGCAUCAUGGGCUUCUCAUAUUUCGUUGCCAAUGUAUACCUUUGGGCAACAUUCACACUCUCCAGUGCCUGCUAAUAAUUUGUUUUCUUACACUUUCCUGGGAUUUGGAUUGGCACCAAAGCCCCAAAGGGAAGAUUCUAGCUGUCAAAAAGCGAAUAUUUAUAAUGAGUGUAAGGUGUAGAUGGAAACCACACAGUUGUCAUACAGCAGCUAUGACAUAAAAGAUGCUAUUUCUUCCAUGCUGUUUCCCGUAAGGGAAAGAGAUAUUUUGGGAGGGCAGAAGAUGUGAUUACAGAAGACAGCUACAUGGAAACUGUCACUGGAUGCUCCACAUGCCGAAAUAGAGUAGUGUGCAGGAACAAGGCUGUGAGAAAUAUUUUAAUAAAUAUCAAGUCCAUGGAUGACUAACAAAAAUAUGUAAGUAUUGAUUAAACAUGUCUGGCUAGCCUAUGCCACAUUGUCCAGUUGAGGAACACAAAAUACAGAGUGGGAAGGUGAGGUUGUCCUCCUGGACCUGAAACUACUGUUUUCUAAGGCCUCAAAUUGUAUUUUUCUCUGAUUUCAUAUCCUUCAGACCAGCAACAAGUGCCUCAGCUUCCUCAUUUCAUAAAUGCUGCUCUUUGCUAACAUAAUUCCAGACCACUGAUUAUAAGCUAUAUAUAGGACACAGGACUGAGUAUUAUGGAAGUCUGAGAUAUUAAUUAAUCAUCACUUUUUAGGUUCCUGGCCCUUUGCUGAGUGAUAGCAGACUUUGCAGCCCUGUGGGAGCCCGGUAUAGAGACCAAAAUUCCCUUUCUGUGUCUGUGACUUCUCCCAUCAACCUCAGAGCCCUGGUGCUCAGGGUUUGCCUGCUGUGGUGCCACCCCUGCUCCCAGGCCCUUCACCCUCACACCUCGUGCCAGGAUCCCACAGGCAGUGUCAGCUGUUGAAAUGGCUUAGUAACUACUAUAGGACAGCACCUCUUCAAAUCUGGAAUUUAUCCUCAUGCAAACUGAUGACCAUACAGAGCAAUCCUAGCACGUAGCAUCUUUCUCUGUAAUGGUACCGCAUCAUGGGUCUGUAUAUCAAGGAACCCUUUGUGCUCCCUGUUGUCAGCAGAUGUAGUGAGCUCUACCCAGCUGCUCCUGCAACAUCCUGUUUUCCUCAUGAUGCUUCAGGGAAUCUCUGAUAUCUUCAGAAGUGCCCUUGUUUAAGAGAAAAAUUAUUGACCCAAGGACAAGCAUCAGAAAUGGCUUUCAGAAAUAAUUCAGAUUCACUAGUUAAAGAUUACAAAUCAGUCUGACAUUGUUGGCUGCAAAUUCUACAGAGAAAAAUAUGAUACUCUACACACUCUGAUACUUUUGCCAGAGUCUCUGCAAGAGAAGGCACAUUGACUUGAAAGUUAAUCAUAGUUCUGGCCCCAGAUGGUUACAGUGAGUCUGCUUCUCUGUCUGUGGGAGUCCUAAAGGAUACUUGAUAGCUGUCCAAGUCUACACUAAGUUACAAGAGAUGAAGAAGAUAAAAAGUCCAUAUGCAAGACCUGCCAUGAGCAACCAGAGAGGGAAACAGGAAUGGCCCCUGCCCCACCCUUACCACAUCUGUUCUGGAGCAAAUUAUCACAGACACUCAGCAACUGCAUGUCUGUCUUGGAUGAAAUGCAUUCCUUCUCUUGUGGAACAAACUGUAAGCAUGAAAUAGUGCAAUGUAAGUAAAACUUUUAGCAAAGGUUGAGUUUCACAGCUACACAUACUAAAGCCCUGAGAACAGGAAUCGUGUGUUCUGCUUUGUCAUUGUAAUAACCAAUGGUACUUGGAAGUUGUUCUAUCAGCACAGAACCUCAAUGCUGCAGCCUGGAAAACCUUCUCUUUCUGUUAAGACUCCAAGAAGGACUGCUAGCAGUGUAUGUGACUGCUGGGCAAAUGAUACAGUUCAAGUCCAUUGAGCAAACAGGCCAAGUAGGUACAUGGGAAUCAGCAAGUUGUAAUACAACUGGGAAUAAGUAACACCUUUGUGACACCUUUGGGGACCAAAUGGUGCUGCAAAACGUGCAUGCAGAACUGUGAGCAACCCAAAGGGGUAAGCAUCUGUACCUACAACAUGCAAUUAGUAAUUUACAAUUACUAAUGCCACACUCAGCAAUUAUGUUUUAAAACUGGUAUGUUUUGUUUAACAUGUGGCUGCGGACUGAUUUAUUUUUUGAUUUCAACUCCUUAAUGAAUUGCAGUAAUUCUGGCAUUUAUUGUGAAAAUGGGUGUGCAGGAUUUUAUCUCUGAAUAUCCAGUCUGGUUUUUAUAGCUGCUAUUUUAUUCCUCUGUGAUUGCUCUAGGACUGACUUUGCUUGCCAAUAGUUACAAGUUAAAACCAAGUUUUAAUAUAUUUCUUGGCUUAAGUAUAAAAUUGAGGGCAAGGGUUGCUUAAUUUGUGAUUUGUGUGGGGUUUUUUCUCUCCAUCUUCUGGUUUCUUUUCCUAUUAAUUUCUAAUUCAGUUGCUCCAAGUCUUUGGUAUAUCGAUCUGUUUCAUAUUAAAGGAAUAAUAGCAAUUUUCCCUGAAUAAGCAACAUUUGGUGAUGUGUGUUCUAUUUAGGCAAGAAGGAAGAAUCCAAGAAGAAACUGUUCUUCCCAGGGAAGGGAAGAAAUGUCACCCGUCAAACAUCAUAGCACUGCAAUGAGGAUCUCAGCCUAAUGGGGCUAGUGGACAGGAAAAUGUUGGCCUUUGCUGACACUGAAUCUCUCUUUUUCUUCCUGGAGGGAUGUCUCCACUGCAGAGGGCAGCACUCAGAGCCAGAAUCAAUAUCAGGGAUUGAGGAGACCACAGGAAAAGAGGAAUUUCUACUCUGUCUACAGCAGAGUGAGAGGAUUGGGAUUAGCUGCCUAAGUCAAGGUCAGAUGCUAAGAGAAUAUUAGAGGUAUCAUCUGAGGGGAAGAAUCACAGAAUGGGUAAGGUUGGAACAGACCACAGUGGUCACUUGGUCCAACCUCCCUGCACCAGACCUAAUUAAGCAAAGAGCAUGCACACAAAAGGAAUACAAGAAUAUUGACAAAUAGAAGGUUUCUAAUUGCUGAAGCAGUUACAAGCCAGUGGGAGAAAUGGGAAGAAGAAAUCUACCUGAUUGCAAAGUGAAGGUGCAGGAGAUUAUCUCAAUCUGUCUGGGUUUUGUGCCUCUGAUAGAUUCAGGGCUCAGCAGUUUGCUCACACUACUACCUGAAGGCUGCCCUGUGGCGUUAUGAGCUCCUGAUAGUUUGUGCAGUUUCCCACCGCCCCCUGAUCUUCAAGUGCCAAUGUCUGGCAGAAAGCAUUAUGCAGAUCCUGCCUUGUAAGUAUCUUGGGACUUUCCAAAGGGCUCUGACCUGGUCAAGAGCCAACUGAAUUGAUAGUCAGCCCAAGCUGAGGUGAAGGGAACCUGAACUUCAGUUGUUGGAGAUUUUCAACUUCAGAGCACCCUUAUGAGCACUCCAGCAGGCAGAGCCUUAACAGACCCUUGGAACUCCAGUCCUUUGUGAGCUUUUCAGUGGUUAGUUAUGGUGAGUGGAUGUUCUGGGUCCUGUGGGUUUCCAUGUACUUUCCAGUCAGAUGAUUCUGAACUCACAGAAUUCAGUAAAGCACAUAAAUGGGCUUCGCUGAAGUGGGAGAAGGUUCAGACUAGAUUUCUGCAAUGCCCUUGUACCUCUGUCCCACCACCAGCCAAAACCUCUGUGUGAAAUGGGUUCUUGAUGUCACUGUAGAAUGGCAUGUGAUUCCCUUAUAAUUUGGGGUGACUUGAGGCUUAAAUCAUGGAACCUCACAGACUGGAACUCUGAGGAGAAGGGAGAACAUGCAAUAUUCUUUCAAAAGGUUGUAAAGUCUCCUUAAUAUCUACUACCCAGAGCCAUAUGGAAAAUUGACUAAGCUGCCUAAAAGCUUUCCAGAAUUUUGCUGCUUGGAAGCAUCCUCAUGACUGUACUGUAUGCUUUGACUUAUAGUCUAAAUUGGUAUUUCCAGUAAUAAUAAUAAGAAGAAGAAGGAGAAGAAGAAGCUGGUUGAUUACUGUCAUCAAUUCCUAGCUGCUAGAAAUGACCAAACUUUUUUUUUCAAAUAUUUUUCUAAUGACAGGAUAGAAAAUAAAAAAGCCCUACCAUUCUUGAACCAAAAUAUGAGUUAGGCUAGUUCUAAAAAUAAGAGAAUGGAAAAUUCUACCUCUUGAAAAAUUAUUUAAAAAAUAUGAAGUCACUAUGUAAAAUGCAAUAAAGUAGACACAAUCUUAGUGGCUUAGAUACAAAGUAAACCUGUGGUACAGUGACUGGUAGCAGCCCUUUGGGUAGCUAUUGCUCAUCUCACGGUAUAUUGAUGUCUCUACUAGGCCUGAACUUGCUAGACGUGACACUCCAAUCUCAGAGUAGAUUACUGCAGUAGCUUGUUGCCUUAAGACAUACAAAUUCAAUCAUUCUAAAUUCACCACAAAUAAAUUUUUAUGAUACAUAUAAAUUCCCUGUUGUGUACAUCAAAACCUGACCAUGACCAGACUGUCAAUACACAGCAUAUGAGGAUGUUUUGUAGUUCUUUCAUACUGCUGGGCUUGCUUUUCUUUCGCAGCAUUUGUAUAUAUAUUUUUAUAACAGGAGGAAAUGAUAAGAGCCUUGCAUUAUGCUGAAAGACAUGAAAACAUGAGAUUAUUUGUAUUGGUCUAAUGUGGUGCAGAAUAGCCUUUGAGAAUUGAAUAGAGCCACGCUCUUUUGUCUUGAACUGAGGCAGACUCAAAAAAUGAAUAUUGACAUUGCAGAAAUUAUUUCCACAUGCAUGAGCUGCCUAGGAAACACAGGCUGAGAAAAAGUUUACAGGGAUCACAAGAGAGAAAAGAGUGAAUUUAAAAUACCUGGAGGAGAAAAUACUAAGAAAACAGUAUGUCCUCUCCUGCUGAAGGCUUAAUUGACUUUGGUCUGAGCCUUCUGGCUUGAGGAAUUUUGGAUCCUGCUACCUGAAGGACUGGCCACAUGCAUUUGUUUCAGAAAGCCUUGCCUAGUCGUAGAGCACUGCUGACUCUCUGACUUCUUUAAAAGAAGACAAGGGUGGCUCUGUUUCAGCGCUGUACUCACUCACUGGUCUAGGCAAUGGAGUGGCUCCAAAGAGGGAUGAAGAAAGUCUGCAAAUCAUGAACGAGGAUGGGGGCAAGGAUGAAUCUGGUCAUCUUCACUGAAUAUUUUGGAGGAAGAGGUUUUUUCUGAGAAUUAAGAUGUCAGGAGACUUGGUAGCAGCAAGAGAAAAUAGCAUCUGUAUAAAGUUGAAUCCAAGUUCUUUUAAGAGGAAAGCAGUGAUAGGACAGGAAAAGAGACACCAAACACAAUGUGGGAAAUCCUCGCUUGUUGUUACUAUUUUUUUUCCACUGGACAAAAGUGACCUCAGCAGGCCUUACUCUGAGCAAGUAAUUUUCCAAAAUAACCUAUGGAGGUGACUUCCAGCCUGAAUUAUUCUGAGACUCUGAGUUGCAUCCUACAGCUUGUAAUAGAAGGAUAUUGGCUAUCAUGCAUGAGGAUGGAGCAGUGUGCGUGUCUGACUCAUUAUUAAGUUGGAGUCACUCAUGAAUUCAGUGUAUUUCGUGACAGAAUGUCAAAUUCUGUGGGGAACCAACAGCUACAAACUUUGACUUUCCAAGGCUAGAGAUUAUUUGCUGACUCUUAUCAUAUGACUCUUAUAGUAUGACUUAUUAUCACUAAUAAAUGCUGGUAUUUAUUCUAUCCAGCACUGUCAGAUGAUCCCUUUGAACUUAUCAUGAUGCUUUGGACCAGGGCAAAGAGCCCAGCUCCUGUGAAAAGGCAACGGUGUUCUUUGGCCAAAUUUUCCAACCCUCCUGUUCCUCAUCUAAAGCUUGGUCUGCAGGGAAAAAACGUCAAGCAAAUGGCAGUGGGAUGGAUCAAAGCAAGUGCUCUUGGCUACACCCUGUUCUUGAGGGAUGCUCUGGGGACAAAGAUGUCUGUUGGUACUUCAUCACAAUGGUAAUGCUCUAGGUUGCAGUGGGUGAGUUGAUGGAUUGCUGUUUACAUUAAUAUUUUCUGCUGAAAAGCAAAAUUCAAGGAGCAGCUCUGAUAUUUUAUCUUAUUUUUGUGGGAACACGGCCAGUGUUGCCCAUAACUCAUACUAUGGUAUGACUAGGACUCUGGUAAGUCACAGAGCAUUUCAAAACUGAGACUGACAACUUCUAAAUUUAAGCUUAGUUAUGCAUGUGUUUUGUUAACCAUAUUAUGUACUUACAGCAGCUUUUUAUAAGUGAAGAACAAGACAACUUUUCAUUAUCUAGCUAGAUAAGUGCCACCAACAAAAGAGCAAAAGAAGUUUAAUUUGGUCAAAAAUCCCAGUUUCAGCGAUAUUCAAAAUACAGAAUUUAAUGGAGACGUUUUCAUUUGCAUUUCCAUAGCAUAGAAAGGAGGCUGGAGGCACUAGCAGCAGUACCUCAGAUUGCUGCAGUAGCUGCCUUUAUGUUUGUACCCCAAAAAACAUUUCAUUGUCUUGUCAUGAGUAAGUGCAUGUGUGUGCCCUGUGUGCAGACAGUUUGAUUACUCCUGUCAUGCAAAGCCGAGCAGAGAUGUGCUGUUUCCUGCAUGAACUGCCAUAUCUUCCCAGCUCACAAGUGAAAGGCUAAACAUUAAGCAGAGCCUAACAAGAUUUCAGCUCUGCAGCACAUUUUAAUUUUCAGCAGUUUGUUGGGUAUAUGGCAGAAUACAGUCUUUCCUAGGGGGAAAAAAGCAACAUGGUUAACAUGGGAUAGAUUUCAUUCAGUGUACUCUGUUUCCUUCCAUUAUUGUAUUUGCCAGAGGAACUAUUUAGUGAGAAGCUUUCUCACGGUAUUUUGUACAAUUCAAGUGUUUUUAAUUUGUCUGGGGAUUUUUUUUUUUGUUUCAUUGGGUUUUUUUUUAAUUUGUUUUCAAGAAAGCACUAGUUUAGAGAUUACAUUUUCUGAAGCCACUGGAUUUCAGUCAUUUUAGACACAUAGUGAGAAGGGAGCAGACAGUAAGAACUAAAAAAGAUUAUUUUUCUCAUUACUGGUAAGAACAUCCUCAUCUGAGUCCCAUUGGAGAGGUAACUGCCCACAUUAAUAAAAUAAACCAAUAUAUAAUCACUACCAGUCUUAAUGCUGGGGCUGAAUGACCUAAUUUAUUAACUCAUUUAUGAUGUGUUUUCAUAGUGUGGCCUCUCUUGUGUUACCUGAGUAAAUAGAAGAGGUGCAGAUGCUUGCCAGAGGUUCAGAGCAUCAUAAAUUUGUCUUACAGGCUAACCUGAAUAUCCCUUAUAGAUUCACUGGUCCUCACUUUCUGGACUCAGUCUUUAAAAUGGGCAUGAAAGCUAGAAAUGCAAUAUUUAUACUUACAGAUCCAAUUGUUGUAACUCAGGUCAGUUGAACAGCAAGAAUAAACUAGAGAAACGGGAGUAGCACAUAAAUCAACUCUUUUAUUAAUAAUUUUCCACUGGCGUUAAUGAAGCUGUCUUCUUUAUCAUCUCAGACAUAGUGAAAAGUUAUUGCACUGUCUUUGUAGAGGCCUUUUCAGUCUCUUACAGAUCUAAUUACCUAAUUGAGGGACAACUAGUUUAGAGAUGAACAGAAUUUUUGCUCUGUGGUUUGUUUCUUUCUGUGGUUCCUUCUGAGAUUUCUGUGUUUUUUCUUAAUGAGGUUAUCCAUCUUCUAAGGAAGCUGACUGUGUGCUUUGGAGUCCAUUUGCUGAGGAUGGUGAGCAAGAGCUGCUGUGUGUCAAUAAAAGCAGAUCCAUGAAAAAAUCCAGUAGCUAAUCCAGUUCUCCAAGAACAACCAAUGAAAGUAAAUUGAUGUCACCCUUCAGCCCUGUGCCGUGAGGGUUCCCAGAUGAAGGCAGGCAGUGAUUGUGUCUUGAGCAAAUCCCUUAGUGUGCUGAUGACUGGACCAGUCUCACAGCAAAGCUACUAGGCACAGUCCACCAGCAGUUUAGGCACUAUGGCACCUGUGUAAAAGGCAGCUGAGAUGCUGGGUUGGGCAGAGACACCACAACAUCCUUCUGUGCUUGAGAACAGUCACAAAACUUUCCAGGGGAGUGGGACCCGCCAAGGGUGACUACUCUCACCACUGCUCAGCAUCAUCUCUUUGCCAGUGGAAGAAAUUAUGACAUGUGUCUCAAGACUUGUCUUUUUAAUGCCAGUAAUGUAAUUUCUUCCUCUUUCAAAACUGAUUCAUUUGAAGCCCUUACUUGAGGCUGGUUUUCCAUGAACAUAUUCAUUUUUCUAGAAUGAAGUCAGGUUUUUCAACUGCCUUCUUGAUUAGUCUAAUGAAUUUUCCUCUUUUCCUGUCAUCAAAUGCACUUUUCUGGAGGAUGGGACAGUUCAUCUCUGAAGGAAAAUUAUUCUUCUGUGACAAAGUUUUAAAUGAAAAUUUUGGAAAUGCCUAAUAGUUAUGGGGUUCUCAAUAUUUCAGGUACUCAGUUCAAAACAUUGUAAAGUGGCAACAAAUGCUGAUUAGCUGCCCUCUAGUCCCUGAUGCUAUUUAUUUGAGGUGUCCUAAAUUAGCAAAAAAGACCAUCAUUCAUUUUUUUUCCCAAAAUAUGUCUCAGACAUUCAAACAUCUAAUUCUGCCCCAGUUCAGAAGGCUGUCUGACUGUUGCCAAGCAUAAAGUUUAAACAAACAGAUGAAUAAAUACUUGGCUCUUUUUAAUUGCUUCUUGUUCUCUGAACUUUCCAGAUUUGUGUUUUCAAUGUAAUUCUUUUCACAGAGAGACUUCUGUCUCCCCUUGCUUUCUAACUAACUAGCUAGGUUAAGAUGCUAAAAUCUUGCACAACAGAAGGAACUUGACUAUAUAAAUAUCUUUGCCUACAGCCUUGGCCUAAGCACAGAGACCAGAGCCUACACUCACCUUGACUCUACGUCCCAGCCAGCACCAACUAGUCACUGUACAAGUGAGGUGGCAAAUACUCUUCUGUACUUGCCUUAUGCAAAUCUUCAUCUUUCUGCACAGCAUCUCCUGUGAUCAAGACUCAGUCCCUGUGGUGCCCAGCUGCUCAUUUUUGCCCAGGCAUUCUGCAGGUUUCCAUCAUUUGUCUCAACAUUGCAUGGAAAAAAGGACUGGGGGAGGUAACUUCCAUGCUUCACAUAUGAGGUACAAAUUACAUUAAUUUUUACCUGUCCUGCUUAAUAUAAAUCAAGUAUUUCCUUUUUGUAGAUUUAUUAUUUACUCGUGCUAGAAAAUGGUGAUGUUAAUGUUCACUUCCUCCCUAGGCUUGAAUGCCCAAAGACACUGUGAGUGUUCACCAAAUGUUCCUUAAAGAACAACUCAGUCUGAGAAAUCCUCCCACAAAUCCUGCACUUAUGUACGUGAUCAGCCUUGCCAAUCCACUGCAGACUGCAAACAGCCAUAGACAGGGUUCCAAACAGUUAAUGUCAAAUAGCUCGUUUUCUCUCAUCUCCAUACAAAUUCCUGUCAUGUUGCAUUACAUGUAAACAACUGAGAAACUUAAUGACAUGCCUUUCAGUCAAAAAUUCAUAUGGCUUUUCAGUCUGAGCAGAUUAAUUGCGGUUUGUAACAAUAUGAAAUGAUUCAAUUUGAUUAGAGUUUCUAUUGUUCUUUGAGAUAAAAUAUUUUAUAAGCAUGUAAAGCCAAGUUUUCUGCUGGCACGACUUUACUGACUUCUUUGGAAAUAUAAAAUACUCAUCUAAAAUCCAUAGUAUAUCAUUGUUGGUGUGCUAUUACAGUAAAUAAAUUUUAAUAGCUUCUGUAAAUUCUAUGUGCCAGAUCAGAUUCCAGGCCCCAUGGAAAUGUCUUUGUCAAUUAAGUGAGGCAGUAGGAAUAUUUGGCUUUUGAGGAGACAAUUCUGAAUGACUCUUUAAGGUUUUUAUAAAUUUGAAGGGUUUUUCUAUUUCUAUUUUUUCAGCAUCCCUGUCUUCUUUUUGAUGUCUUGCUCUUAAAAUCUGCUUGUAAUUCUCUUUCGGUUCAUUUCUAUGUUCUCUAGGGUCAUUUCUAUGUUCUUGCUGCGGACAUUGCUCUGGUGUUCUGUAGUCAUCCCAUAGAUCCAAACCCAGAAGCCCUGCAACACAAGUUCUGCUGCCAAUAGGGGUAAUGUGAGGAACUUCAAUGAAACCUCAAUCUGUUUGCCAUCAAUGCUGUCAUUGUGGUGGUGACAUGGGCUGUUACAGCUAAGAGAGAAGAAUGCAGAAAGUAAGGGGGUUUGACCCUACAGCUUGAAAUGCUCAAAGGUUUAGUGUUUUGAGUAAGGCAAUAAUCCAAAGCCUAUCAAGGCAGAAGAAAAAACAGCCUUUGGCUCCAGUGAGCAUUGCAUCAGGCCUUCAGAUGACUGGCAAUCAGCAGACUUCAUACUGUGUAAUUCUGUAUGAAAGAAGCACUAGUUCUCCAACAUACAGUCAGCUGAGGAGGAAUAAGACAUGCUGUGUCUUUGCAACUCACCCUUCUGGCCAGCAGACAUCCCUGUCACUGCAGGCGAUGUGGAUGUUCUUGCACAACUGGUGGAGAGACAUCUAGCUCUGCUUUGCAACUGCUGCUUCCUGCUAAGCCAUCACCAGAGAAAGAAUUAGCAGAGAUUCCAUUGUCACAUACCUCCAACCUGAACUCUGGGCUAUAUUUAAAUGAGCACAGGAAAGAGACUGAAGACUCUAUGACCCCUAUGAAUUGGGGGAUUGGUUUUUCUAAACUGGAGGGUCAAUGUCAGAAGAUCAGAUUACAAGUGUCUACCUGUGUGUUUUCGUGGUGUGGUGGGUCAUCUGGAGUUCAGGCUCUGUAAACUCCAAGGAGGUGAUUCCAGAGCAGUUUAAGCACUUCAGCAAUUCCUAGCACUGGUGGUCUCAUUUUGGGAAGGAUUUCCUAACAUGUUUGAAAGCCAAAAGCUUCUUUGCUAAAUUAAUAAAGAAGAGUGAACCAGUGGGUAAGUCUGUAGAAGAUAGACAAAAUCAGGCUAAUUUGUUAUAUAAUCCCUUUUUAAUGUGGAGAAUUAGGGUGAUGGCAAGACGACUACAUGUUUAAUUCUCCAAAUAAUUACUGGUGUGUAUUGACAUUAAAGGUGAGAGAGAGCAAGUUAAUUUCUGCUUGUUGUUUUCAGCACGUGCCAAACUCUUACUUCACACCAGUGAGAAAAGGAUGGAAGUUGUAUAUUCCAUAUGCGUGAAGUAACAGUUGGCACAAAUCACCAAAAGAAGAAAAUUAAAAACCACUAAAGCCCAGCAGCCCAAACUGCCACUUGCUGACGAGUUUUUUUAGUCUCUCUGCUAAAAAAAAAACAAACCAAAAAAAACCCCUGAAGGCCUCAAACAAAGUAUUCCACCUGAAUAAACCUGGGUGUCUGUUUAGGUCCUCCUCAAUGCAAAUAUGGUGUGAGAAGGCAGCAACAGCCUUGCUUUUCCAGCCUCCUCCUCCUCUACACCUUUCUGAAGUGCUGUCAUGGGCAGUCACAGAGUGGGCAGGGGAGGAUGACAGCACUUGCCUCAGGUUGGUGGUCCUUUCUUCUGUUGGCAGUCUUGGCUAUGAAAAAACGUCCUUUGCCAUUGGUAGGAAUAGAGGUGCUUGGAGCUGCUCUGCCGUGUAAAUCAGAAUAAUGGAGUUUUAUGUCUGCCCUUUGCUGGCAUUAUUGAAUUUGACCCAAAACAGCUGGAGGUAGCUGUAUCUGCACAACCUGCCUCUAACUUAUGUGUCCUUAUGAAGGCCUUGGGAUAUCUUUGGCAUUUAUCCAUGGCUGCCAGUGCUUCAGAGGCACAAAGGGGUUCUAAUGUCCCACCCAGCCCCCUGCUCAACCUGCCCAAGGACCUGCUGUCCAUGUCAGCUCCCUGAGCCCACCUACCUCAGUGAUGCUGCUGCAGGGCCAGGCUCCAGCUGCCCACAGCCCUGCCUGGCCAGGGCCCCACAGAGACGGACACACAUCCCAUCCUGUCACCAUAGCUCAUGUGGUGCCCUGGCAAUGGCUGUAGGUUACAGGAGUUUUCCCACAUGCUUUCUGUUCAAGAUGAUGUCCUUUGCUCACAGGAUGCCAUGACCACCUAAGUCUUCUCUGUCAUUUGCAUGAGUACACACAUAAGUAUACUUAUCGAGAGUCAAGCCAUGUGUAUGAAAUAUGGGAUAAAGCUCACAGAAGUAUUCUAUAUUGUUACUCUAAGGUUAGCUCCCUGUCCUGCAAUCUCCCUUUCCCCUCUAGUUUGGUAUCUACAGGGAAGAAGAAAAGCUGGGGAUGAAGUGAGGCAGCUUGUAAAGCAAGGAAUGACAGGCAAAUCCAUAUCAGGAGUUAAUUUCAGCAUGUUUCAUAUCAAAUCACUCAGGAAUCACAAAAAUUUACUUCUUUACUCCUAUUUUGUUGAUGGCUAGAAUAUUACUUCUAAGCCAAAGCUUUCAUGUUCAAAUCACUCCCUUAUUUUAUUUUUAAAAAAAGAAUCUGUUUUGCAGUUUGACAUGUUUCUUGUUUUCAGACUGCUGAUUUUCUGUGUGGUUAACUCUAGGCUUCCUACAACUGACAGCUUAUUAUCUCACCUUAUGAAAAUUAUGCAUGGCUUCUGGGACUCAUCUAUCAAAAGGAGAGAGCACAACACUCUGAGAAGUUGGUGCCUUCUCUCUAGUUAUCUGGGUUUAUGGUUGUUCAGUGAAACUAUUAACUGCCUGGAGUGACUUGUAUCUUUACAGGUAUGAGACUGUAUUGUCUUUCUUUGCUGUGCUUAAAUGGCAGAUGCUACCCCUGUGUCAUGUCCUGGUUUAACUUUAUCUCUGGCCUGGUGGUUCCAAGUGCAGCUGGCUAUGUUCUCAUUGGACAGUGGACUCUUCAUGUGUCUGCAGAUGAAAUGGCUGUAGGUGAAUGUUUCAUCUUCCCCUUAUCUCAUAUUCUCUGAAAACCGUCUCAGUUCAAGAUUUAUGCCUUUCAGUGGAGCACUUAAACACACAGCUCUAAGCACUUAAUUUCCUAUGGUUUCAUGGCACAGAGAUGGAUUUCAGUGCCUACUCAUAGUUCAUGGCUUGCCAGCACUUUAACAGUUUCUUUUGCAGUGGCCAGAUAAAAGUUAGGAGCCAGCCCUGACAGUCCUGUGCCUGGGGCUAUGGUUUGCUUUCUGGUAGUGAUGCCAUUCAAGCCUUUCAUGAUAAUCCCACAUAGAGACUGAUGGAGCCUGAGAUCCAGCUGCUCACUGAGGAUUAAGGAAAGGUGCUCUCCUAGGCCUGACCUAAAGGGAAAUAGGAGAAGGAAAGAUUCCCCCUUCUUUCUCUAGUUGUGGCUACUGGUAGCACCAUGCUCUGCUAGAGCAGACCACCCCAGUAGCACGAUAGGUGUCAAGCCUUUAUGCUGUGGCCAUAAUAUAUCAAUCUGCCAGCACAUCCUUUCCAAAUCCUAUGCCAUCAUCUCUAGUCACCCACACCCACUCUUCUCUGCUGUGUCUCCUCCCAGGAUCAGCUCACCCUUAAAAGUAUGUUUAAGGGCAGCUCAGAAAGUGAAAAUGGGGGGGAAGGCAUAAUUCAUCUUGUUGAUGAUGUGACAGAGCUAACAAAGUCUGAGCACCUUGUCCACAGUGGGAUAAGGGCAUAAGAAAUAACUGAUCACAAGGAUAAGAGAAAAAUAAAUAGGCCAUAUUUAUCUGAAUGGUAGAAAUAACUUUUGUGGGUGAUGCCAAAAUGUAAUGGGAUGUGUUGAAAUGUGGCCGGUGAUAGACUCCAGCUUUUCACUCUGGUUACAACAGAGGGAAGUUGAGAAGCUGUACCUGUCCUGGCAGGAGGGGUUGUGAGGAAGUAUGAAAUAAUCAGUAUCAAACUGAGACUUUUCAGAGAGUUUUUAGCUGGAAUAUGGAAAUAUCUUUGGAAGCUUUAUGAUGAUUUAAUUUUACUGGAAUUUGUAUGCGUUAACUUUUUUUUUAUGGCAAUGCAGAAGGAGUUUGGCUUAAGACUAGCUGCCACUGGCUUCCCAAGAAUUAUAAAGCCAAGAUAAUAAAUGACCUUGAUCAGAAGACACACCUCACUCUUGUCCCCCUGUGGUCCUGUUCCAGUCAGUUUCCAGCCCAAGAAGCUGCUGGAGCAGAGUAAACUGCAAUCUCCAAUUGGCAGAGCUGUGACCAGCUUUAUUUAUAAAGGCUUGUGAUAGAGCCUACUCUGCUCUCAUUUAUACCAGGUAAAAACAUGAUAUGAGUUGUUAGCCCAAUUCUUGUACUUUUGUGCUGUUGCAGCAAAAGAAAGGUGUCAGGAAAUGCUCUCACCAAUAAUGUCUGAAGUCAUUCUGUAAAGGAGCAGCUUGGCUUGGGCAGUCCCAGGACCCUGCUCUGCUCCUCAUGCUGACAGCAUAGCUGAGAGCCUCUGGGAGUGUGGUCACCCAAAGGCUCUGGGCUGCUGGCAGAGUCUAAGUGGCUUGGCUCUGCAGAGGAGCCCUGUGGCUGCUGUCUUACCAGCUGCUGGCAAUUUGGACAAGCUGCACUUGUGCCCCUAUGCCACCCUGAUUUUAAAUGUGGCCACCUGGGAUGGCUAAAACUGAGGUGAAAAACUGGAAUACUUUUUUCAAAUGUGACUUUUAAGUUGUGUAGGUAAUGAUAGGCAAGUUAAGUCA